Molecule: ribosomal RNA, 253 nt
Filed under: uncultured bacterium
Lineage: Bacteria
Description: partial 16S ribosomal RNA
Rfam family: Bacterial small subunit ribosomal RNA
Source: RNAcentral
UACGGAGGGUGCAAGCGUUAAUCGGAAUUACUGGGCGUAAAGCGUGCGCAGGCGGUUUUGUAAGACUGUCGUGAAAUCCCCGGGCUUAACCUGGGAAUGGCGAUGGUGACUGCAAGGCUAGAGUUUGGCAGAGGGGGGUAGAAUUCCACGUGUAGCAGUGAAAUGCGUAGAUAUGUGGAGGAACACCGAUGGCGAAGGCAGCCCCCUGGGUCAAAACUGACGCUCAUGCACGAAAGCGUGGGGAGCAAACAGG